RNAcentral lists this ribosomal RNA (460 nucleotides) under uncultured bacterium. Its description in RNAcentral is "partial 16S ribosomal RNA". It matches the Rfam family "Bacterial small subunit ribosomal RNA", at positions 338 to 795 of the family's 1533-position model. The record is from RNAcentral.
CCUACGGGCGGCAGCAGUGAGGAAUAUUGGUCAAUGGCCGGAAGGCUGAACCAGCCAUGCCGCGUGAAGGUCAGUGCCCUAUGGGCGUUAAACUUCUUUUGUGCGGGAGCAAUAAUGGUCACGUGUGGCCAGACGAGAGUACCGUACGAAUAAGCAUCGGCUAACUCCGUGCCAGCAGCCGCGGUAAUACGGGGGAUGCAAGCGUUAUCCGGAUUUAUUGGGUUUAAAGGGGGCGUAGGCUGUGAGGUAAGUCAGCGGUGAAAUGCCCCCGCUCAAAGGGGUGAAGUGCCAUUGAUACUGCCAUGCUGGAAUGCGGAUGCCGUGGGAGGAAGGUUUGGUGUAGCGGUGAAAUGCAUAGAUAUCACACAGAACACCGAUUGCGAAGGCAUCUCACGAAUCCGCGAUUGACGCUGAUGCACGAAAGCGUGGGUAUCAAACAGGAUUAGAUACCCGAGUAGUC